GGUUGAUGCCAGGACAGCAGUUUUUACUGCAGAAAAGCUGCUUAAGGUAGGAAUUCUACAGGCGGCAAAGAGUGGAAAUGCUCCGUGUAGUUCUGAGACCAGGGCAUCCAUUCGACUGCCGAUUAAGAGCACUGAACCUGCUACUGCCCAGCCAGAUGAAGUUGGACAAGCUGCCAGUGACUUCUCAAGUGAACUAAACUUUGUACAGUGUUUGUCCGAAAACCAGGAUGAUCUGGAGAUAGCACCACUCGCUUUUUUGGCUGGAUACCUAGCACGUGUUUUUGAGGAGAAGAUUGCAUGUGGGGCAUGCAAGAGCUUGCUGCAGUUGCCAAAGCCUAGUGGACCGGUCUCUGAGCUAAUCAGGAAGCUCGACAAUGGACACUUGAAAUACCCCAAAAUGGAAGUCAUUGGUGUUUGCAGGCUGGUGUGUAUCUUCGUUAGCAGGAUGAUGAAAUGUGAGCAUGUUAGACGCAGUGGAAAUCUGUGCACAACGUUGGUCACGGCUCUACUCCCACACAUGAUGUGCAGCCCAAUAUUCAUGUGUGAGCUGGAAAAUGCUGACCACAGUAAGCAGCUAUGUGAGCUAUUUCUUAAAAAAACUGUUGCGACCGUUGCUGGGAAAUUGGGCCGGCAAUAUCACUUCAACUGUGGAGCGCUUUGUAAAGCUGGUGCAUAAGCCACUUUCGAGAA
This is a long non-coding RNA of Ornithodoros turicata, 690 nucleotides long. RefSeq lists it as uncharacterized. NCBI's taxonomy places the organism in Eukaryota, Metazoa, Arthropoda, Arachnida, Ixodida, Argasidae. The record is from RefSeq and is a predicted model, not a curated record. The transcript is spliced from 3 exons.